This 460-nucleotide ribosomal RNA is filed under the name uncultured bacterium. Its description in RNAcentral is "partial 16S ribosomal RNA". It matches the Rfam family "Bacterial small subunit ribosomal RNA", at positions 338 to 795 of the family's 1533-position model. The record is from RNAcentral.
CCUACGGGAGACAGCAGUGAGGAAUAUUGGGCAAUGGACGCAAGUCUGAACCAGCCAUGCCGCGUGCAGGAAGACGGCUCUAUGAGUUGUAAACUGCUUUUGUACGAGGGUAAACGCAGAUACGCGUAUCUGUCUGAAAGUAUCGUACGAAUAAGGAUCGGCUAACCCCGUGCCAGCAGCCGCGGUAAUACGGAGGAUUCAAGCGUUAUCCGGAUUUAUUGGGUUUAAAGGGUGCGUAGGCGGUCGGAUAAGUUAGAGGUGAAAUCCCGGGGCUCAACUUCGGAAUUGCCUCUGAUACUGUUCGGCUAGAGAGUAUGUGCGGUAGGUGGAAUGUAUGGUGUAGCGGUGAAAUGCUUAGAGAUCAUACAGAACACCGAUUGCGAAGGCAGCUUACUAAGCUACUUCUGACGUUGAGGCACGAAAGCGUGGGGAGCAAACAGGAUUAGAUACCCGAGUAGUC